This 522-nucleotide ribosomal RNA is filed under the name Lepiota besseyi. RNAcentral's name for it is "partial 18S ribosomal RNA". The stretch from base 149 to 302 matches the Rfam family "5.8S ribosomal RNA". Lineage: Eukaryota; Fungi; Basidiomycota; Agaricomycetes; Agaricales; Agaricaceae. The record is from RNAcentral.
UUGUAGUCUUUUUGGGGGCUGAGGAAAGCGCGACUGACUUGCUCGGUCGUGUUGAAUCUCCCUUGGGGGACUAUGUCUUUUAUUCAUACACCAUGUAGUAUGUUGCAGAAUGUAUUCAAUGGGCCUCUGUGCCUAUAAAACCUUAUACAACUUUCAGCAACGGAUCUCUUGGCUCUCGCAUCGAUGAAGAACGCAGCGAAAUGCGAUAAGUAAUGUGAAUUGCAGAAUUCAGUGAAUCAUCGAAUCUUUGAACGCACCUUGCGCUCCUUGGUAUUCCGAGGAGCAUGCCUGUUUGAGUGUCAUUAAAUUCUCAACUCCUCCAGCUUUUGUGGUUGGUCUAGGGGCUUGGAUGUGGAGGUUUUGCGGGCCUUUCGAGGUCGGCUCCUCUGAAAUACAUUAGCGGAACCGUUUGCGAUCCGUCACAGGUGUGAUAAUUAUCUACGCCAGUGGGUUGCUCUCUGUCUGUUCAGCUUCUAACUGUCCCGUCUCUGUGGACAAACUCUCCUGAACGUUGACCUCAAA